Molecule: ribosomal RNA, 1261 nt
Filed under: uncultured bacterium
Lineage: Bacteria
Description: bacterial SSU rRNA
Rfam family: Bacterial small subunit ribosomal RNA
Source: RNAcentral
GGGUGNUUAAUAUAUCGGAACGUACCCAAGAGUGGGGGAUAACGUAGCGAAAGUUACGCUAAUACCGCAUACGAUCCAAGGAUGAAAGCAGGGGACCUUCGGGCCUUGUGCUCCUGGAGCGGCCGAUAUCUGAUUAGCUAGUUGGUGAGGUAAAGGCUCACCAAGGCGACGAUCAGUAGCUGGUCUGAGAGGACGACCAGCCACACUGGAACUGAGACACGGUCCAGACUCCUACGGGAGGCAGCAGUGGGGAAUUUUGGACAAUGGGCGCAAGCCUGAUCCAGCAAUGCCGCGUGAGUGAAGAAGGCCUUCGGGUUGUAAAGCUCUUUUGUCAGGGAAGAAACGGCUGUGGCUAAUAUCCACGGCUAAUGACGGUACCUGAAGAAUAAGCACCGGCUAACUACGUGCCAGCAGCCGCGGUAAUACGUAGGGUGCAAGCGUUAAUCGGAAUUACUGGGCGUAAAGCGUGCGCAGGCGGUUUUGUAAGUCUGUCGUGAAAUCCCCGGGCUCAACCUGGGAAUUGCGAUGGAGACUGCAAGGCUAGAAUCUGGCAGAGGGGGGUAGAAUUCCACGUGUAGCAGUGAAAUGCGUAGAGAUGUGGAGGAACACCGAUGGCGAAGGCAGCCCCCUGGGUCAAGAUUGACGCUCAUGCACGAAAGCGUGGGGAGCAAACAGGAUUAGAUACCCUGGUAGUCCACGCCCUAAACGAUGUCUACUAGUUGUCGGGUUUUAAUUAACUUGGUAACGCAGCUAACGCGUGAAGUAGACCGCCUGGGGAGUACGGUCGCAAGAUUAAAACUCAAAGGAAUUGACGGGGACCCGCACAAGCGGUGGAUGAUGUGGAUUAAUUCGAUGCAACGCGAAAAACCUUACCUACCCUUGACAUGUCAAGAAGACCGGAGAGAUCUGGUUGUGCCCGAAAGGGAACCUGAACACAGGUGCUGCAUGGCUGUCGUCAGCUCGUGUCGUGAGAUGUUGGGUUAAGUCCCGCAACGAGCGCAACCCUUGUCAUUAGUUGCUACGCAAGAGCACUCUAAUGAGACUGCCGGUGACAAACCGGAGGAAGGUGGGGAUGACGUCAAGUCCUCAUGGCCCUUAUGGGUAGGGCUUCACACGUCAUACAAUGGUACAUACAGAGGGCCGCCAACCCGCGAGGGGGAGCUAAUCCCAGAAAGUGUAUCGUAGUCCGGAUCGUAGUCUGCAACUCGACUACGUGAAGUUGGAAUCGCUAGUAAUCGCGGAUCAGCAUGCCGCGGUGAAU